CACCUACCCCACCACCAAUCCCGCCACCCACGACCAAUCCCACCACCGAUCCCGCCACCAACCACCAACCAUGAUAAACUGCUAGUUUCUUCCCACUACAGUGUCUCUCAAAAAUGGGACAGCAACAUUCUUUUUGUUUUCACUUGCAGUAAGCAUGAUGCAAUUACAUAAAUGUACGUCCCAGCUAGUCAAGAGGCUGAGACAAGAGGAUCUCUUGAGCCCAGGAGCUCAAGGCUGUAGUGAGCCAAGAUCGUGCCACUGCACACAAACAAUUAUGUGACCUCGGGCAAGUUGCUUUACCUCUUUACACCUCUUAAUUUCCUUAUCUGUAAAAUGAGGAUGAUAAUUUCUUCCUGGGUCUGUUGUAAUAAUUAAUACAUCAAAGCACUUCAUGUCUGGAACAGUGAAGAUACCCUGCUAUGACUAUUAAGGAUAGUAUACAUGGAAUAAGACACAGGAACUUCUAAAUGCUUUUGACCAUAGAUUUAGGUUCUGAGUUUUAAGAAUUUAACUCAGGAAAUUGUAACACCAAAAAUGUCAUGUGAAAAAUGGUGGUGACAAAUUUUCUUGAAUCAUUAGCCUUAGAGGUUGGGCAGAAAGCAAAAAAUUAUUCUUGAUGCU
RNAcentral lists this long non-coding RNA (621 nucleotides) under Homo sapiens (human). Its description in RNAcentral is "non-protein coding lnc-F11-6:1". Lineage: Eukaryota; Metazoa; Chordata; Mammalia; Primates; Hominidae. The record is from RNAcentral.